RNAcentral lists this ribosomal RNA (2630 nucleotides) under uncultured beta proteobacterium. RNAcentral's name for it is "partial 23S ribosomal RNA". It matches the Rfam family "Bacterial large subunit ribosomal RNA". Lineage: Bacteria; Pseudomonadati; Pseudomonadota; Betaproteobacteria. The record is from RNAcentral.
UAUCUGAAUGGGGAAACCCAGCCCGAAAGGGUUAUCCGCACCUGAAUAUAUAGGGUGUGUGAAGCGAACCUGCUGAACUGAAACAUCUAAGUAGGCAGAGGAAAAGAAAUCAACCGAGAUUCCGAAAGUAGUGGCGAGCGAAAUCGGAAUAGCCUGCAACAUUUAGCCAUUGAUUUAGAGGAACGGAAUGGAAAGUCCGGCCAUAGAGGGUGAUAGCCCCUUACUCGAAAAACCAGCGGUAGAACUAAGGUUGCGACAAGUAGGGCGGGACACGUGAAAUCCUGUCUGAACAUGGGAGGACCAUCCUCCAAGGCUAAAUACUCGUAAUCGACCGAUAGUGAACCAGUACCGUGAGGGAAAGGCGAAAAGAACCCCGGAAGGGGAGUGAAAUAGAUCCUGAAACCGCAUGCAUACAAGCGGUCGGAGCUCCGUAAGGAGUGUCGGCAUACCUUUUGUAUAAUGGGUCAGCGACUUACAUUCAGUGGCGAGCUUAACCGUAUAGGGAAAGCGUAGCGAAAGCGAGUCUAAACAGGGCGUUCAGUCGCUGGGUGUAGACCCGAAACCAGAUGAUCUACCCAUGGCCAGGAUGAAGGUGCGGUAACACGCACUGGAGGUCCGAACCCACUACCGUUGAAAAGGUAGGGGAUGAGCUGUGGGUAGGGGUGAAAGGCUAAACAAAUCUGGAGAUAGCUGGUUCUCUCCGAAAGCUAUUUAUGUAGCGCCUCGUGGUACACCUUCGGGGUAGAGCACUGUUUAUGGCUAGGGGGCCGCUUAGGCCUACCAAACCAUUGCAACUCCGAAUACCGAAGAGUGAGUCCACGGGAGACAGACAUCGGGUGCUAACGUCCGGUGUCAAGAGGGAAACAACCCAGACCGCCAGCUAAGGUCCCAAAUUACAGUUAAGUGGCAAACGAAGUGAGAAGGCACAAACAGCCAGGAGGUUGGCUUAGAAGCAGCCACCCUUUAAAGAAAGCGUAAUAGCUCACUGGUCGAGUCGUCUCGCGCGGAAGAUGUAACGGGGCUCAAACUGUAAACCGAAGCUGCGGGUGCGUAGCAAUACGCGCGGCAGGAGAGCGUUCUGUAAGCCUGUGAAGGUGACUCGUAAGAGUUGCUGGAGGUAUCAGAAGUGCGAAUGCUGACAUGAGUAGCGAUAAACAGAGUGAAAAGCUCUGUCGCCGUAAGCCCAAGGUUCCCUGCGCAACGUUCAUCGGCGCAGGGUGAGUCGGCCCCUAAGGCGAGGCGGAAACGCGUAGUCGAUGGGAAACAGGUUAAAUAUUCCUGUACCUCUGCAUGAUGCGAUGGGGGGACGGAGAAGGUUAUGCAAGCCGGGUGUUGGAAGUCCCGGUUCAAGAGUGUAGGCGUGCUGUCUAGGCAAAUCCGGACGGCUUAGCUGAGACUUGAUAACGAGUGACCUCGUGUCACGAAGUUGCAGAUACCAUGCUUCCAAGAAAAGCCUCUAAGCUUCAGUCAUGUAGGGACCGUACCGUAAUCGGACACACGUGGGCGGGAUGAGUAUUCCAAGGCGCUUGAGAGAACUCAGGAGAAGGAACUCGGCAAAUUAGUACCGUAACUUCGGGAUAAGGUACGCCCCUAGUAGGUGAAAGUGUACAACUGGAGCCGAAUGGGGUCGCAGCGAAAAGGUGGCUGCGACUGUUUAACAAAAACACAGCACUCUGCAAACACGUCAAGUGGACGUAUAGGGUGUGACGCCUGCCCGGUGCCGGAAGGUUAAGUGAUGGGGUGCAAGCUCUUGAUCGAAGCCCCGGUAAACGGCGGCCGUAACUAUAACGGUCCUAAGGUAGCGAAAUUCCUUGUCGGGUAAGUUCCGACCUGCACGAAUGGCGUAACGAUGGCCACACUGUCUCCUCCUGAGACUCUGCGAAGUUGAAGUGUUUGUGAUGAUGCAAUCUCCCCGCUGCAAGACGGAAAGACCCCGUGCACCUUUACUGCAACUUUGCAUUGGACUUUGAUGAGAUUUGUGUAGGAUAGCUGGGAGGCUUUGAAGUGGGGGCGCUAGCCCUCAUGGAGCCGACGUUGAAAUACCAGCCUGAUGUCAUUGAGGUUCUAACCUGGAUCCGUAAUCCGGAUCGGGGACCGUGCAUGGUGGGCAGUUUGACUGAGGCGGUCUCCUCCCAAAGAGUAACGGAGGAGUGCGGCGGUACGCUUAGCGCGGUCGGCUAUCGCGCUGUAUGUGCAAUGGCAAAAGCGUGCUUAACUGCGAGACGGACAUGUCGAGCAGGUGCGAAAGCAGGUCAUAGUGAUCCGGUGGUUCUGUAUGGAAGGGCCAUCGCUCAACGGAUAAAAGGUACGCCGGGGAUAACAGGCUGAUUCCUCCCAAGAGUUCAUAUCGACGGGGGAGUUUGGCACCUCGAUGUCGGCUCAUCGCAUCCUGGGGCUGUAGCCGGUCCCAAGGGUAUGGCUGUUCGCCAUUUAAAGUGGUACGUGAGCUGGGUUCAAAACGUCGUGAGACAGUUUGGUCCCUAUCUGCAGUGGACGUUGGAAGUUUGAGGGGGGCUGCUCCUAGUACGAGAGGACCGGAGUGGACGCACCUCUGGUGUACCGGUUGUCACGCCAGUGGCAUCGCCGGGUAGCUAAGUGCGGAAAAGAUAACCGCUGAAAGCAUCUAAGCA